This 482-nucleotide ribosomal RNA is filed under the name uncultured bacterium. RNAcentral's name for it is "partial 16S ribosomal RNA". It matches the Rfam family "Bacterial small subunit ribosomal RNA", at positions 30 to 507 of the family's 1533-position model. The record is from RNAcentral.
AUUGAACGCUGGCGGCAUGCUUUACACAUGCAAGUCGAACGGUAACAGGCCUCAAGGUGCUGACGAGUGGCGAACGGGUGAGUAAUGCAUCGGAACGUGCCCAGUCGUGGGGGAUAACUACUCGAAAGAGUAGCUAAUACCGCAUACGAUCUAUGGAUGAAAGCGGGGGACCGUAAGGCCUCGCGCGAUUGGAGCUGCCGAUGUCAGAUUAGGUAGUUGGUGGGGUAAAGGCUCACCAAGCCAACGAUCUGUAGCUGGUCUGAGAGGACGACCAGCCACACUGGGACUGAGACACGGCCCAGACUCCUACGGGAGGCAGCAGUGGGGAAUUUUGGACAAUGGGAGCAAGCCUGAUCCAGCAAUGCCGCGUGGAGGAAGAAGGCCUUCGGGUUGUAAACUGCUUUUGUACGGAACGAAACGGCUCUGGUUAAUACCCGGGGCUAAUGACGGUACCGUAAGAAUAAGCACCGGCUAACUACGUG